Molecule: ribosomal RNA, 252 nt
Filed under: uncultured bacterium
Lineage: Bacteria
Description: partial 16S ribosomal RNA
Rfam family: Bacterial small subunit ribosomal RNA
Source: RNAcentral
UACGUAGGUCCCGAGCGUUGUCCGGAUUUAUUGGGCGUAAAGCGAGCGCAGGUGGUUUAUUAAGUCUGGUGUAAAAGGCAGUGACUCAACCAUUGUAUGCAUUGGAAACUGGUAGACUUGAGUGCAGGAGAGGAGAGUGGAAUUCCAUGUGUAGCGGUGAAAUGCGUAGAUAUAUGGAGGAACACCGGUGGCGAAAGCGGUUCUCUGGCCUGUAACUGACACUGAGGCUCGAAAGCGUGGGGAGCAAACAGG